This 442-nucleotide ribosomal RNA is filed under the name uncultured bacterium. RNAcentral's name for it is "partial 16S ribosomal RNA". It matches the Rfam family "Bacterial small subunit ribosomal RNA", at positions 338 to 795 of the family's 1533-position model. The record is from RNAcentral.
CCUACGGGAGGCAGCAGUGGGGAAUAUUGGGCAAUGGGCGCAAGCCUGACCCAGCAACGCCGCGUGAAGGAAGAAGGCUUUCGGGUUGUAAACUUCUUUUAAGAGGGAAGAGCAGAAGACGGUACCUCUUGAAUAAGCCACGGCUAACGACGUGCCAGCAGCCGCGGUAAUACGUAGGUGGCAAGCGUUGUCCGGAGUUACUGGGUGUAACGGGCGUGUAGCAGGGCUGACAAGUCAGAUGUGAAAUUCCGGGGGUCAACCCCGGACCUACAGUUGACACUGGUGGUCUUGAGUAUCGGAGAGGCAGGCGGAAUUCGUGGUGUAGCGGUGAAAUGCGUAGAUAUUAGGAGGAACACCAGUGGCGAAGGCGGCCUGCUGGACGACAACUGACGGUGAGGCGCGAAAGCGUGGGGAGCAAACAGGAUUAGAUACCCGUGUAGUC